CGAGAAGGGGGAAUCAUCGCUGGCCUUUGUAGCAAUACAAAGACGGGAGGAAAGUCCGGACACCACAUGGCAACGUAGCGGCUAACGGCCGUCCAUCGCGAGGUGAGGACAAGUGCAACAGAAAGUAUGUACAGGUAAUGCUGUAGUGAAACCAGGUAAACUCUACGUGGUGCAAGCUCAAAUAGGUAUAGGCGUUUUUUAGCAAUAGAAAACUAGGGGGUGCCACCUCCGAUGCUAUACGGGUAGGGUGCUCGAGGCUUGUGGCAACGCAAGUCCUAGAUGAAUGAUGGUUGAAAACAGGAUCCGGCUUACACCCUUUCUCGGUUU
RNAcentral lists this RNase P RNA (327 nucleotides) under Bacteriovorax stolpii. RNAcentral's name for it is "Bacterial RNase P class A". It matches the Rfam family "Bacterial RNase P class A". From Rfam's summary of the family: Ribonuclease P (RNase P) is a ubiquitous endoribonuclease, found in archaea, bacteria and eukarya as well as chloroplasts and mitochondria. Lineage: Bacteria; Pseudomonadati; Bdellovibrionota; Bacteriovoracia; Bacteriovoracales; Bacteriovoracaceae. The record is from Rfam by way of RNAcentral.